This 65-nucleotide transfer RNA is filed under the name Acanthobothrium sp. MZUSP 8033. RNAcentral's name for it is "tRNA-Ala". RNAcentral also lists the same sequence under 2 other names. The record is from RNAcentral. Lineage: Eukaryota; Metazoa; Platyhelminthes; Cestoda; Tetraphyllidea; Onchobothriidae.
AACGAAAUAGUUUAAUUAGAAUAGUGGGUUUGCGUCUCACUGGUGGACUGUUUGUCUUUUCGUUA